RNAcentral lists this ribosomal RNA (696 nucleotides) under uncultured bacterium. RNAcentral's name for it is "bacterial SSU rRNA". It matches the Rfam family "Bacterial small subunit ribosomal RNA", at positions 8 to 749 of the family's 1533-position model. The record is from RNAcentral.
AGGGUUUGAUCAUGGCUCAGAACGUACGCUGGCGGCACGCCUUAUACAUGCAAGUCGAACGAAGUAGCAAUACUUAGUGGCAGACGGGUGAGUAACAUGUAGGUAUCUGCCCUUUGGCCUGGAAUAACACGAGGAAACUUGUGCUAAUACUGGAUAAGUCUUUACGGAGAAAGCUUUAUGCACCAUUGGAUGAGCCUGCACUUGAUUAGUUUGUUGGUGGGGUAAUGGCCUACCAAGACAAUGAUCAAUAGCUGAUUUGAGAGGAUGAUCAGCCACAUUGGAACUGAGACACGGUCCAAACUCCUACGGGAGGCAGCAGUAGGGAAUCUUGCACAAUGGAGGAAACUCUGAUGCAGCGAUGCCGCGUGAGUGAAGAAGGCCUUUGGGUUGUAAAGCUCUUUCGUCGGGGAAGAAAAUGACUGUACCCGAAUAAGAAGGUCCGGCUAACUUCGUGCCAGCAGCCGCGGUAAUACGAAGGGACCUAGCGUAGUUCGGAAUUACUGGGCUUAAAGAGUUCGUAGGUGGUUAAAAAAGUUGGUGGUGAAAUCCCAGAGCUUAACUCUGGAACUGCCAUCAAAACUUUUUAGCUAGAGUAUGGUAGAGGAAAGCAGAAUUUCUAGUGUAGAGGUGAAAUUCGUAGAUAUUAGAAAGAAUACCGAUUGCGAAGGCAGCUUUCUGGAUCAUUACUGACGCUGA